This 253-nucleotide ribosomal RNA is filed under the name uncultured bacterium. RNAcentral's name for it is "partial 16S ribosomal RNA". It matches the Rfam family "Bacterial small subunit ribosomal RNA", at positions 524 to 776 of the family's 1533-position model. The record is from RNAcentral.
UACGUAGGGGGCAAGCGUUGUCCGGAUUUAUUGGGCGUAAAGAGCGUGUAGGCGGCUUUACAGGUCCGUUGUGAAAACUCGAGGCUCAACCUCGAGACGCCGGUGGAAACCGUAAAGCUAGAGUCCGGAAGAGGAGAGUGGAAUUCCUGGUGUAGCGGUGAAAUGCGCAGAUAUCAGGAGGAACACCGGUGGCGAAGGCGGAUCUCUGGGCCUUACCUGACGCUGAGGCGCGAAAGCUAGGGGAGUAAACAGG